Long non-coding RNA from Quercus robur (English oak), 916 nucleotides. RefSeq lists it as uncharacterized. Lineage: Eukaryota; Viridiplantae; Streptophyta; Magnoliopsida; Fagales; Fagaceae. The transcript has 3 exons. The record is from RefSeq and is a predicted model, not a curated record.
AGAUUACUAAUUCCUUAUGCCAGAUAAACCCAUUAGGUCUUCCACAAAAAGAAUCUCUCAAUCAAGGUUUAAGAUUUAUCAUCUCUGCUUUGGCUUGUAAGACCUUUUUUUCUAUUCAAGAAGAUCUACUAAAUUAAAUUGAGAGAAUUUGAAAUUGGAUGUGUCCUACCAAGGGAGAUUCAAAGAAUAAUUGGCAAUGAAUGUUUCUUCCAACUGCAUCUUGAUGAAUAUAAUUUGAAAUAUGGAAGAGAAAAUCACACCGUUUCGAAGAUUUUAGAGACGGAGAUCUUGCAUAAAGUUGAAGAACAUCAGGUAAUAAUAAAGUUGAAGUCUAUUUUUAGUAUAUUUAUCACACCUAAGUACCAUAGGAUUCAUGACUAUUCUUUACAUGAUAUUUCCAGUAUGCUUUAUAGUUCAUUGAAAUUGAAGCAUACACACUUCACCUUGCUUGUUAUAUGAUUUAAACAUUAGUCUGCACGGGACUUAGUAUACAUAUCUAACUGGUACAUAAGAAGUUGUUAUCAAAAUAAGAAAAAAUAUAUAAAAUUUUGUAUGAUACCAUCAAAGUCAACAUAGUACAAUGAAAGCACUCUAAAUUUUAAGCAACAUGCAUAUAAUCUUCCAUUUUUUGAAACACCAUUUAAUAAAAGUGCAAAUUAUUGCAGGACACAAUAGAGGAAAUUGUAAGGAAAUCAAGGAAGGACAAGUCCAUUGCUAGUCAAAAAAUAAACAUAGGACAAACAUUUGUUAAAAGACCUCAAUUAAUUGUCGUUAUAACUACUGAAGAUGAAAAAACUAAUGAUAAAAGUAUGCCGUUCCAAAUGCUUCAAAAACGUCAAAAUGGUACUAAGCUGAUUGCAUCAAAGAAGAAAAAAAUUUGAAGUCUAAUGUAUCUCAAUGUAUUUUAUAAAUAACA